This 748-nucleotide ribosomal RNA is filed under the name uncultured bacterium. Its description in RNAcentral is "bacterial SSU rRNA". It matches the Rfam family "Bacterial small subunit ribosomal RNA", at positions 9 to 800 of the family's 1533-position model. The record is from RNAcentral.
GAGUUUGAUCCUGGCUCAGGAUGAACGCUGGCGGUCUGCUUAACACAUGCAAGUCGAACGGACUCUUCGGAGUUAGUGGCGGACGGGUGAGUAACGCGUGAGAAUCUAGCUUCAGGAUGGGGACAACAGUGGGAAACUGCUGCUAAUACCCGAUGUGCCGGAAGGUGAAAGAUUUAUUGCCUGAAGAUGAGCUCGCGUCCGAUUAGCUAGUUGGUAGGGUAAGAGCCUACCAAGGCGACGAUCGGUAGCUGGUCUGAGAGGAUGACCAGCCACACUGGGACUGAGACACGGCCCAGACUCCUACGGGAGGCAGCAGUGGGGAAUUUUCCGCAAUGGGCGAAAGCCUGACGGAGCAAGACCGCGUGGGGGAGGAAGGCUCUUGGGUUGUAAACCUCUUUUCUCAAGGAAGAAGACAGUGACGGUACUUGAGGAAUCAGCAUCGGCUAACUCCGUGCCAGCAGCCGCGGUAAUACGGAGGAUGCAAGCGUUAUCCGGAAUUAUUGGGCGUAAAGCGUCCGUAGGUGGCAAUUCAAGUCUGCCGUUAAAACCAGUGGCUUAACCACUGAAUAGCGGUGGAAACCGAAUAGCUAGAGUGUGGUAGGGGUAGAGGGAAUUCCCAGUGUAGCGGUGAAAUGCGUAGAGAUUGGGAAGAACACCGGUGGCGAAAGCGCUCUGCUGGACCACAACUGACACUCACAGGACGAAAGCUAGGGGAGCGAAAGGGAUUAGAUACCCCUGUAGUCCUAGC